This 5316-nucleotide long non-coding RNA is filed under the name Arachis ipaensis. Its description in RNAcentral is "long non-coding RNA (AIPA_LNC000800)". The record is from RNAcentral. Lineage: Eukaryota; Viridiplantae; Streptophyta; Magnoliopsida; Fabales; Fabaceae.
CUGGUUGAUCUUCGAUAUUAAUACUAAUUGAAGACGGAAUCAUAGGCCAUGUUCCAAUUUCACUAGAACACAGUGAUUCCUCGUCAAGCUAUGGCCUCAGGAUCACGCGACCAAGAGCAUGCUUCCAAUUCAUGGCAUCAUCAAAUUCCGGCAAAAUAUGAAUACCGGUAUGAAUUCUUCGAUCUCCUUUUGUUCUUAUACACACUGAAAUCCUUCUGUUCCAUAUGGUAUGAAACAUGUUGAAUGUUGAGAUUCUUGUUGCUACUAUUAAUCAUUCAAACAUGUAUAGUAAUUUCGAAAAGGAAAUCUUCAUUAUGCUCAGCCUUGUUAACCCCUUGCCCAAAGUAAGAUUAAACUUUCAUACAAGGAAAGAAAGGUUAUGUAAAGGAAUUGACUAAAAAAUCAGAGGAACAAUUAAUUUCAACAACUGGAGGCAGUUACAAGACUUGAACUCUAUUAUACAAUACAUCAGCGUUCCCUUCUCCCCAAAUGGUUGCUCAUUAAUGUUAAAUCUCCGAACCUCAACGAGCAACCAAAUUCACCUAGAAACAACAAAUAUCACAUAUGUAACACAGCUCAACACGUUCACCGACCCAUAAAAUGUCACUUCAAAAUCUACAAACCUCAUGGGAGAACUAUAAAGUACAUGAUAUUAGCUUUGUCAUUCAACAUAGAAAAGAUUGAACGCCCUCUGGAAGUUAUCCUUCUAGUGUGAGAAACAUCCAGAGAGCCACUAAUGAUGGCCUGACUAGGUUUUAUCCGUAUUUUCAAACUUUUCAACGAAUUGGGUGGUACUGUGUGAUACCACGCUUGGGUGGCAACUUCCUCAAAAUGAAAAGGACCAAGGAAGAAGGUAAUAUUUCCACCAACUGCAGCAAAAUUGUGAAAAAGACAAAGGGGUGUUAGUUGAAAGACCAAUAUUACAAAUACCCGUUCAAUAGAUUAAAACCCUACGAGACCAAGUUUCCCAUUUUUCACAAGUAUUUCAAAAGCAUGGGGAAAACUGCAAUCAUUAAUACAAACGGGCAUCAGGGUAACAAUCAAUGCUCUCAAUAAAUAAAAAUAAAAAAUAGAGGGGAGGGGAGGGGGAGGGAGAACUGCAGCAAAAUUGUGAAAAAGACAAAGGGGUGUUAGUUGAAAGACCAAUAUUACAAAUACCCGUUCAAUAGAUUAAAACCCUACGAGACCAAGUUUCCCAUUUUUCACAAGUAUUUCAAAAGCAUGGGGAAAACUGCAAUCAUUAAUACAAACGGGCAUCAGGGUAACAAUCAAUGCUCUCAAUAAAUAAAAAUAAAAAAUAGAGGGGAGGGGAGGGGGAGGGACAGAGAGAGAAGAGAAAAAGAGAGAAAAAAAAAAAGGGGAGGGGGGAUCAGUCUUUCAUGGAUUAUCCGGUUUCAAAAAUCAAAUGGGAUUUUUGGCGAAAUUGCAAUAACUUUAUUUUGCACCUUGCCAAUUAGGUUUAUUUGAAAACAAUCUUCCCACGAGUGAGCUCAAAACUCAGGUAGAUUAACCAGAAAUGCAUCAGUCUGACAAACUCAGGCAGGAAAUAUGUCCAACCUUUCAAAAAAUGAGCUCAAAACAAGAGUGUCCAGAGGCAUAAAAAAUGGAUCCACAUAUAUAGCGAGUUGCAAGCACAAAAACAAGGAAUAAUUAGAAACAUGGCAAUUUAAGGACCACAAUGAAAUAUAAACAUACUAACCAAGUAAUAGAUGAAGUUUAGGAUGGGAUGGUACAGGACAUCAAGGUCAGCAUCUUCGUCAAAUGCAUCAAAGCACAUCUAACACAAUAAAAAAAAAGUUAUCAAACCCAAUUUGAAGAUGAAAUCAACAAGGUACAUAAAAGAAAAAAAAAAGGAACUGACCAUAACACAUCUGACAAGGAAACAUGAAAAACAUAUUGUGGUCACAUAGCCAACCUGCAAUAGAAAGAUCAGGUAGAUUAAAAUCCUGGAGAAGGGAGAGAGGGAUGGAGGAAAGGGAAGAUCUUAGUGGAUCUAGGAAAAUUUUCAUUGAAAAACUGCAUACCUCUUGCAGCUUCUUCCGUCGACCUUUGGAUUCAACAGGAAAGCGUUGCAGCAUCAAGAAUAGUCUGUCAAAGAACAAAAUCAGAAAUAGGAUACAAAAACUGGAUGGAAAACAAGAUUUAAAGUUGUAUACACACAAUGCAAAUACAAAGAUGAUGUGCAAAAUAUAAUCCAUAAGUGUCUUAUUUGGGCAAAAUAACUUUUAUGGUUAAUUUUCUUCUAAAUCCCUUCUUCCUGUUCAUUUUCCAAACAAUCAAAUCUUCAUCCUCAACAAAACCAUUAGGAAAUUGAAAGCCCUUCUAUAGUCAAACAUUUUUAUUAGAACUGCAGCGCUCAUUGGAUCAACACAUACUAUUUGCAACAUCUGUUGUGAAACUUAGUUUUAGUCUCAACAUCUGAAUCCAUUUACCACUUAUUUCUGUAUUGCAAAGCAACUACUUCCUGAAGGAACAAUUGUUUGCGUUAAUUAGCAAAGGCCAUCCUACUUCAUAGCUUUGGUCAAAGAAAGGAAGAAGUUUCUGAAGCAGAUCCUUUAUUUCUUUUUAUUUGGGUUAAUGUCCAGUUUAUCCAGUGUUUUGGCAUAUUUGGUUGGGAAAAAUGCACUCAUAUUGACUGGUUGGAUCUUAAAGCACAAGCCUCUCCAUUAACAGGUUAAACGGCCAGUUUUCUUUUGAAAACAUUGGUUAUAAUGAUCCCAAAAUCCUUACCACGUCACAUCCAGUUGAAAAUUGGAACAAAUGGUUUACCUUCCACCAUAGAGAAGAAAGCCAAGGGCUGCAAACAAUGAGACUCCUGUUGCAAAAUAUAUGCACCCAAGAAUAUUAAAUCAUGAUCGAUAAAAUACUAAAUUUUAUUCUUUUUGGAGGUGGAGAACUCUUAACAACUAACCUGCAAAGAACACCUUAGACAGGAUGAGCAGCACCCUAAUAGGUUUCCACCAUAAUAACAACCAUAAAGCAAGCUGAAACACAAGAAGGGGGAAGAGUUAUCAGUAGCUUCAGAACCUAGUCAACCUGAGAGUAGCACCUAUUUAAAACCUCAAAUCAAUGUUUAUUGAUCAUCAAAACUGAUGACACAAAGUUCAAAACAUUUAAAUCUCAAAGGUUAUUAAUUUUAAACCUUUCAGUUGCAAAGAUUUACGUGCAUUACUGUUAGAUAGUUCAACUAGCUGACUUCCAACACAUUUUAACUACAGCCAUCCCUAAUGCCAUUCAUCCAUAGGGCUAAACUCCUAAUUUUCCUCCAAUGAUUUUUAUAAGAGAGAGAAAUAAUGGGGGCGAGGAAUAACAAGUAACUUGAGGGAUGGCGAGCUUAUAUUUUGUCAAACAGGAGUUGGCACAUUUUUUUAUCUAUUGAGAAAAAGUUUGGGACAGGUCACGCUGAGGAUAGGGCAGACUGGCCAAUCUUAACAGCUAAAACUGUAGCUUCCAUGUCAAUUCUAUUCUUUACUUCCACUGAGAAAUAGAAGCAGAAAAAGGAAUAGGGUCGUAUAAAACUAUGGCCCUCCUAUAAUAAAAGCCAAACCUAGUGCACUGAGCAGAUAUAAAAUCUUGAGCAAGAGUUUUCACCUGAAUAACGUAAACUACAGCAUUAAUUGAAUAGAAACUUGGUCUGAGUCCAUCAGUAGAUACUGCACGUGCCUACAAAACAUUCAUCAAAGCAUGUAAACACCAAUCAGGUCAUUGAAAUAGAAAAACACAACGCCAUUUAAAAAGGGCAAUCAACGUCAAAUCAAACUUGCCUGGUAAUAAAUUUCCGCCCAGAAGAGAACUAAAAGUGCAUAAGUUGUGAAGAAAGCAAGACUUGGCAUGUCUAGCAAGAUAUGUUGAACAAUCUAUACACCAAAAGCCUGACCCAUUAUUAGAUGCUAUAAUUAUGAGAAUUCACAUUAUGUGAUUAUGAAAACAGCUGAAAUAAUUCAUUCACCUCUGGCUGAAACUUCUGCACAUUCCGACGGAAGACGAAAACUAAACAUCGAACUGCAGAACCAGAAAAUAGCAUGCAUUAGCCCACAUAAUAAAAACUAAUCAAACUAUAAAGAGAAAAGAGAUUUUCAGAAUUGAAUGAUACAAACCCCCAUUCACCAAAAAAUUGAGAAAGUGAAAGACCUUCUGCGUCGUCCAUCCAUAUUCCGGCACCCUCAAUUGUAUCCGAACGAGUUGAACCUAAUAAUUACAAACAAAACAAAAAAAGUAACUACGAUAAUUAAUAAAUAAUUUAAUAAAUCUUAUAUCUGAAGGAAAACCCUAACCUAACCGAUCAAAAAUCGAGAAACCAAAAAGGAAUAGGUUGUUUCGUGCGCGUGUGUGUAUGAGAGAGAGAGAGAGAGAGAGAGGAAUACCAGCGCGACGGCGCCUACGAUGCCGUAGAGGACGGCGAGGAUGUGGAAUAUACGAUCCUGCCAGACAGAGGAUGCGUUGAUGUCGUGCCACCAGUUCGACGACGACGACAACGACGAUUUGGUCAGGUUAAGGGCGGCGGCCACCGAGAACACCGCCGUGGUCGCCACCUCCGCCGGCACGCCUCUGGCCACCAUGGGGACGGAAUGGAAUCUUCUGUACACGGAAUCGGAAGGGGCGCUGGAUUUUUCUAUGAUGAAUGAAGAAGAAACCAGAAUGGCACAACCUAAUCAAAUUAUUCAAAUUGUAUUUUUCUUUUUCUUUUUUGUUUUUUAAUAAUUGAUUUUUAUUUUGCUUUGUGGACAGAGCCGGCGGGAGCCGAGAGGGAAAUAAAGGGAGAGGGCGCACCUAUGAUGGAUUGGUUUUGGUGGUGACCGGAGGUAGCCGGUUUGAGGUCACUGUUCCCUAUGUAAGAGAAACCGAUAUCCUAGCAUAGCGGUGCCCACACGUAAUCAUUUAUGCAACUCUCGCCAUUUGCUAUUAUUUUGUUUUAUUAUUGUUAUUUUUGGGUAUAUUAUUACUAGUAUUAUUUUAUUUUAUUUUAUUUUAUUUUAUAAUGACAAACACGUGGUUAUCCUGUACCCGGUUUUAUUUUUGUUUGCUUUAUCUACCUGUCUAUGUAUAAAAAUAAAAACAAAAUUGAAAAUGCUACACGUAUAAUUUUUUUAUUUUUUGAAUGAAGAUUGGAUAAUGACUUUUUUUUUUUAUUUUUUCCCCUUAAAAAGUGAAACUUGAUCAACUAGAUUUUGAGCAAGUUGAAGGUAAUCAUGAAAGGAAUUACGCAUUUACGCAUGUAAUGUAAUCGUGCUUAAACCCAUGACCAUGAUGUUGAAAUGUGGUCAAUUGUUGAAUUUGUAUGAAAUGGAAAAUUUUAUCUUUAGAAAGAUAGACUCC